This 1482-nucleotide ribosomal RNA is filed under the name Triticum aestivum (bread wheat). Its description in RNAcentral is "partial small subunit ribosomal RNA". Lineage: Eukaryota; Viridiplantae; Streptophyta; Magnoliopsida; Poales; Poaceae. The record is from RNAcentral.
GCAGCCUGCAAAUCGCACCCGUGGCUCGAUUCAUCGCGACCAGAGCAGCAGACAACCCAAACAGGUCAGCGACACCGGCGACGCAGCAAUAACCCACUCCCGGCGAGGCUAACCACAAAAUUGACCCUCCAAUGGCGUGCGCGUGCUCCCCCGAACCCCGGCUCAUCGCAAGCGCGUGAUUCAUUCCGCGCAACCUCCAUUUCCAUUCCACAGCGUUGGAGGAGGAGGAGAGCACCGAGGUUGAGUUCCUUGCCGCCGUUCCGUGGGUGAUUCUCGGAGCCCGAGUUGCCGAGGUGCGGGUCCGGUUCGUCUUCUCCCUGGGGCCUCUUCUCCAGGUUGAGCCACAGUAAGUUGAAGACAUCAUGUUCCGUAGGAAGCACGCUUCUCAUUUCAAUUCAGAUGAUGCUGAGCAGCGACAAGCAAAGAUCAACGAACUGAGAGCUGCACUUGGGUCUAUGUCUGCCCGUGGCGAGAAGUACUGCAGUGAAGCAUGCUUGGCAAGGUAUCUCGAAGCACGCAACUGGAAUAUUGACAAGUCUAGGAAAAUGUUGGAAGAAAGUCUCAAGUGGAGGGCAGUUAGCAGGCCUGAGGACAUUCGCUGGCCUGAUGUUUCUGUGGAAGCAGAAACAGGUAAAAUGUACAGGGCAACUUUCACCGAUAGAGAAGGGAGAACUGUCGUUAUUAUGAGACCUGCAAAGCAGAAUACAUCGUCUCAUGAAGGGCAGUUGCGGUAUCUUAUAUAUACCCUGGAGAAUGCAGUUCUCAGCCUGCCUCAGGGUCUAGACAAAAUGGUGUGGUUGAUAGACUUCACAGGAUGGACACUGGCCAAUGCAACCCCCAUAAAGACGGCCAGAGACAGUGCAAAUAUCCUGCAAAACCAUUACCCUGAGAGGCUUUCUGUUGCGUUUUUGUUCAAUCCCCCCAAAGUAUUCGAGGCUUUCUUUAAGGUUGUAAAAGUGUUCCUUGACCCGAAAUCGAUCCAGAAAGUCAACUUUGUGUACAAGGACAACGAGGAAAGCAUGAAGACAAUGUACAAGCACAUUGACCCAGAAGUCCUUCCGGUGGAGUUUGGAGGGAAGAACAUUGUGGUGUACAACCAUGAGGAUUACUCUAAGUUGAUGACAAAGGAUGACAUCAAAACAACAAGCUUUUGGGCGGCAGAUGGUAGCCAUGCCGUAAACGGGGGCUCGGUGCCUCAGGUUAUACCGCAGUCGUCGCCAAUCGUUGCUAAAGCAAGUUGAGGAACAUCUCGACGAGCCAUCUCACCUGCUAUUGCAAAAGUAAACCGAGGAGCUUCAGCGAGCCAAUGUCACGGUUCACAGCUCUAAAAGAGGAAUAUAUCGAUACCUUGAGGAUGUUUGGAUAAAUAAAUGUAACUGCAAAAUAUCUCGCUUGUGAUGUUACAAAAAUAGUUAUUACUAGUAUAUCCCCAAACAAGUGGUCUCACAACAGUUCCAUAUUCCCUUGGCCAACAAUUUGAAA